UGCUUGAGAGGCCUAAAACACCGAGAGUGA
RNAcentral lists this small RNA (30 nucleotides) under Bombyx mori (domestic silkworm). RNAcentral describes it as "ovarian small RNA-8647". The record is from RNAcentral. Lineage: Eukaryota; Metazoa; Arthropoda; Insecta; Lepidoptera; Bombycidae.